This is a long non-coding RNA of Nerophis ophidion (straightnose pipefish), 385 nucleotides long. RefSeq lists it as uncharacterized. The record is from RefSeq and is a predicted model, not a curated record. The transcript has 3 exons. Lineage: Eukaryota; Metazoa; Chordata; Actinopteri; Syngnathiformes; Syngnathidae.
AGCGGUUGUCUGCGGCAGCGGGCGCGUAGCAACAGGUCAGCCACACUCGUUCUAUCUCCAUCGGAAAGGAAGUGACUCGUUAAGGAUAGAAAUGGGGAGAUGACGUCUCCUCGAGUCCUCGUUUUUUGGUGCUGGUUUCUUCGUGCUCUUUGACCGAGUCUCACUCUAAGGCAGAUGGCGACCACGUGAGAGCAUGUACCGCCACCAUGGCGUGUACGCUGCGGCGUGUGUUCACGUGGACCUUCGAAGGGAUCCUGUGUACCUGCAGGUUCCUUUGGGUUUGCCCAUACAACGCAGUCCGGUUCUUACCAAGGGAAAAUCACACAAUAGCGGAAAAAGGCCGUCAUCACAAACAAUCCAUAGGUAAGAUCAAUAAGGACUUUUU